Molecule: long non-coding RNA, 6805 nt
Filed under: Homo sapiens (human)
Lineage: Eukaryota; Metazoa; Chordata; Mammalia; Primates; Hominidae
Description: non-protein coding LINC02137:9
Source: RNAcentral
CCACUGUGUCCGGCCCAGUGAUGGAGCCUGUUUCUAUCUAGACAGUAACCAAAACCCAUGGCCGUUUCCUAAGACUAUCAGUUUGCAAAUGGAGUCCUUGAGCAGUUCAGUAAGGGGAAAACAUUUUAGAGUUUAGGGGCUUUUAUUUUAAAACUUUCAUAUUUUUACUGUGUUAAAUUGAUGACAUAUAUAAUACAUGGUCCUGCAUGUACAGACUUCUGAAAGAUUCAAGUAACCAGAACAAAACAAGUCCCCUUCACCAUCGCCUCCCACACCCACACCCAGCUCCGGGAGGUAACAACAUCAACAAACAGAUGGCUUCCCUCCAGUUCCUUUCAACGCCUUCAUGCUCACAUGUAGUCCUUUAUGUAGGUUGGAUCCUAUUAUACAUUCUGUUCUGUGCCCUCCCUUUUUUACCUAACAAUAUCUCGGAGAUCUAUCUACCUUAUUCUUGUUUAACAACCACAGAGGUUUUCAGAGUAGGGAAAGAUCAUAUUCUAUUUAACCACUCAACUUCUCUGAAGGAUUUGGGCUGUUCAUAAAUUUUCACAACGUUACGGUGAACGUCACAGGACUUACAUGCAGCCGCAUGUGCAAGGAUUUCUGUAGUGCAGACUUCUGGAAAGGUGGAAUUGAUGGAGCAUAGAGCAAAGACACUUUCAGAAGAGGAACGAAGGCCUGGAAGGAAAAGCAUCAGGGGAACGACGCUUACGUCUCUCCUCCUCCCUCCGGUCUCCCACCAGUGCUCCCAUUGGCUGAAGCCAACCAGAAGCCACAGGAAGCCCACUGUCUGUUCAGAUUUCUGACCCUUGGAAAACUGCAGAGCUCAAUGAUUAAAUGAAUGGACUUUGGAGCCAGGUGACCCUGGAUUCCAAUCCUGUCUCCACCACUCCAGGCUCUGAGACCUGGGCCAGUCACUCUGCCCUUCUGGCUUUAGCGUCUCCAUUUGUAAAACAGCACAGAGUGCCAGGCAGGUCAGACUGAAUGACAGACAGAAGGGACUUAGCGUCUUCUAUGCACUGGAUUAUGUUCCCCUAAAAUUCAUAUACGGAAGCCCUAACCCCCAGUGUGAUGGGAUUUGGAGAUGGGGCCUUUGGAAGGUGCUUAUAGCUAGGUGAGGGUAUGAGGGUGGGGCCCUCAUGAUGGGAUUAGCGCCCUUAUAAGAAGAGACACCAAAGAGCUUGCACACAUGUGCUCUCUCUCUCUCUCUCUCUCUCUCUCUCACACACACACACACACACUCUCUCUCUCUCUCCCAUGCACAAAGAAGAGGUCAUGUUGGCCAGGUGCAGUGGCUCAUGCCUGUAAUCCCAGCACUUUAGGAGGCUGAGGCAGGAGGAUCGCUUGUGCCCAGGAGUUCAAGACCAGCCUGGGCAACAUAAUGAGACCUUGUCUCUACAAGAAUUGUUUACAAAAUUAGCUGGGCAUCGUGGUGCAUACCUGUAGUCCCAGCCAUUUGGGAAGCUGGGGUGGGAGGCUCACUUGAGCUCAGGAGGUCAAGGCUGCAGCAAGCUGUGACCAUGCCAUUGCACUCCAGCCUGGGUGACAGAGGAAGACUCUGUUUCAAAAAAAAAAAGAAAAGAAAAAGAAAAGGUGAUAUGGGCACACAACGAGAUGGCCACCACGUGUAAGCCAAAAGAAGAGGCUUCAGGAUGAAACCUACCUUGCCAGCACCUUGAUCUUGGACACCCCAUCCUCCAUAAUUGUGAGAAAUUCUUCUUGGGUUAAGCCACCCAGUCUAUGGUAUUUCAUUAUGGCAGCCUGAGCUAGGGCAGCAUAGCUGCAGGAGCAGUGAUGGCAUGCACUUCUGAAGCCUCUGGUUCAUGUCCAUCAUUAGGUUCGGUCAGGCACCAAUCAGUCAGGGAGCUGCAACCACCCCUGUCUGCACUUCCCCAAGGAGUGACUGACCCUCCAGGGCCCAUCUGCUCCCAGCUCCUCCACCUCAUCUGCCAAUUGUUACCAGACUCCCUGUGCACAGCCCUGAGCUGACGGGGGAUCUUGAACCCAGGUUUGUUCCCGUGUGUGUACCCUGAUCUAGGGGAAGCAUCCAGUGGAAGCUGCUGCUUGGCCUCCAGGCCCCAAAGAUAUGAUACAGAUGCCUGCAGCCUUGCCCACCACUACCACUCAUCUAAGGAAUGUGUCCAGAACCUACAGACUCUGUGUAUGUGUCCAUGAAACAAAAGGCUGAAUUAUUUCCUGAUGUUUCACUUCAGACUGAGGUUUGCUGCAAAAGAUGAAGGGAGACAGAAAGAGAUUCACCCACAGAAGUGAGACUUCAUUUCUGGAGGGGGAGAGGCCAGGGAAUGGGUGACCCUCCAGAAGGAUGAGCUAGAAAAACAGGGUCUCCCAAUAAGCAGGUGUGCAGAGCACAGCAACAGGAAACUCAUGCAGCAGGCAUGAAUGAAUGAAGGGCCUGCUGUUUACCAGUCCCUGCAGGCACUCUGGGAUAUAGACAGGCCACAGGCCAUGGGGGCUUAGUGGUCCACAACCCCAGGUGCAACCCAGCCCCUCCACUUAGCAUCUGCUCGAGGCCAAAAACAGCUGCUGUUAUUUCUGCCCGCAUCCGUUUUCUAUCCCUCUGGGAACCAUACCCCUGUUGUCCUCUGGGGAUCCAUCCCAUUGGUUCACAUGUUCCCAGAGAAGCUGAUAAGUUCCAGGGGAGGAGCCCAUGAUGCCUCUCACCCCAAGCCAAUCAGUAACUCCAACGCUCCCAGCCAUGGUGGGUACAGGCAUGUGACCAGUUCAGAACACUGGUCACAUUCCUGACACGAGCAAAUUCACUGGACCUGAAACCAGAGAGGAAGUAGGAACUAGAACGCCUGUCUCCAUCUGGCCACAAAAUGGAGCCUGAAAUUGAAGUGAACACAACAGAAGCAAGAGCCAGAGAUGAGAAACCAAGGCUUCUCUGGGUCAGCGGUGCCUGAAACAGAUGCAUCCCCAGGCCUCUCCGUUCACUGAGUAAAUGACCUUUUUUUUGUGAGACGGAGUCUCGCUCUGUCGCCCAGGCUGGAGUGCAGUGGCAGCAAUCUCGGCUCACUGCAAGCUCCACCUCCCAGGUUCACACCAUUUUCCUGCCUCAGCCUCCCGAGUAGCUGGGACUAAAGGCACCCGCCACCACGCCUGGCUAAUUGUUUUUUAUAUUUUUUAGUAGAGAUGGGGUUUCACCGUGUUAGCCAGGAUGGUCUCGAUCUCCUGACCUCGUGAUCCACCCGCCUCGGCCUCCCAAAAUGCUGGGAUUACAGGUGUGAGCCACCGUGCCUGGCUGUAAAUGACCUUUUUUAAAAAACAAAACAAAAAAAACUAUUUUCUGUAUAAGCCAGUUUAAAUUUUUAUCACAUACAACAGUUGUAAUACAUGUUCGUACACAAACCAAGUGCAGAUUUCUAAAAAAAAUAGGGUGCGAACAAAAGACAACGGCGUCUCUAGGUUGCACUUGGUUACUUGUGGUAGGUGAGGGAUUUGUUGAUGAGGGGCAGAUUUGUGAUUACUGUUGGAGCUUAUCCAAUGCAGACAAAAGAGCUUCUCAUCUAAGUGGCUUUGUGGAUACCAGAUAGAGCAUGACCUUUUCCCCUUCCUUUUUGAGGGUGCUGCACAAGCUGGUAGAUUGGUCCUUGGGAACCCCAAGGGGAGAUGCCCCCAUGCACCCCCUGAGGGGCCUUUGAGGUUAGAGACCUUCGAUUGCCCCCCACCCCCACCCCUGCAGCUGUCUAGGAUGGCCAUAGGUCCAGGCAGGCUCACUUACCCAGCAUUAACACACCAAACUCACCCGGGAAUGGGAUUCUUAGAUCAAGAGAGGGGCAAAGAAAGAAGAGAAGGUUGGCAGAGUGACAGAAGGAAUUUCAUGUCCAGAUGGGGAGUGGCAGGAAGCAGCUAGAUCUGUUCUUAGUCAAGUAACAGAACUUGGCACCCAUAGGGGCUCAAUAGACUGGUGCUCUCAUACAUACAAAAGAACAAACGAAGGAACGAGUAGACCUCUCAGAGGAGCAGCAUAGAGAUGGCUAUGAUCCAGGAGUUUCUCAAGACUUUGGGAUGCCAUUUGGCAGAGUGUACCCCAAGUUUGUCAUUCAGAUUUUUGCCACAUUUCCAUGCUACUUCACUGUCACUAACUAUAUAUAUCUAUAUAUACACACACAUAUAUGUAUAUAUAUACAUAUAUGUAUACAUGUACGUGUAUAUAUAUAUAUAUAGAGAGAGAGAGAUAUAUAUAUAUAUAGAGAGAGAGAGAGAGAGAGACUUGCUCUGUUGCCCAGGCUAGAGUGCAGUGGUGCAAUUUUGGCUCACUGUAACCUCCGCCUCCUGGAUUCAAGCCAUUCUCCUGCCUCAGCCUCCUGAGUAGCUAGGACUACAUGCCCACACUACCACGAGGGCUAAUUUUUGUAUUUUUAGUAGUGACGGUGUUUCACCAUAUUGGCUAGGAUGGUCUUGAACUCCUGACCUCAAAUGAUCUGCCCAUGUUGGCCUCCCAAAGUGCUGGGAUUACAGGCAUGAGCCACCGUGCCUAGCCCAAUUUUGUUUUUAAUGGAUGAAUGAUCAAAUGCAUGAAUUUUGUGCCUGUUUCCUCUAGGAAAUUUGGUAUGUUUGGAGGACAGGGUGUCUGCCUUCUUCCUGGCUGUAAUCUCUGGUCUUCCUCUACAUCUACUGACAUCUUCUUUCUUCUUUCUUCUUCUUCUUCCUCUUCCUGUUUUUUUUUUUUUUUUUUUUUUUUUUUUUUUUUUUUUUUGACAGAGUCUUGCUCUGUUGCCAGGCUGGAGUGCAGUGGUGUGAUCUCAGCUCACUGCAACUUCUGCCUCCUGGGUUCUGCCUCCUGUCUCAGCCUCCCAAGUAGGUGGGACUACAGGUACGCACCACCAUGCCUGGCUAAUUUUUGUAUUUUUAGUAGAGACGGGGUUUGGCCAUGUUGGCCAAGCUGGUCUUGAACUCCUGACCUCAGGUGAUCUGCCUGCCUUGGCCUCCCAAAGUGCUGGGAUUACAGGCAUGAGCCACCACAUCUGGCCUAUUUUUAUUUAUUUAUUUUAAUUUUGAGACAGCGUCUUGCUCUGUCACUCAGGCUGGAGUGCCGUGGCACAAUCAUGGCCUACUGCAGCUUUGACCUCCUGGGCUCAAAUGAUCCUCCCACCUCAGCCUCCCUAAGUAGCUGGGAUUAUAAGCGUGCACCGCCACACCCAGCUAAUUUUUUAUUUUUUGUAAAGAUGGGGUCUCCCUAUGUUUCCCAGGCUGGUCUUGAACUCUUGGGCUCAAGCAAUCCUCCCAUCUCAGCCUCCCAAAUUGCUGGAAUUACAGGCAUGAUCCACCGCGCCAGGCUGAUUUAUGGUUUCUAAUGGAGCAAAGACACAGAUGACAGAGCAGGAGCACCAUCAUCUCAGACAAACACUGCCACUUUAAGCUCCAGCUCCCUUCUUAGCCUUAUGCAUUUUAAGGAAAUCACUUCCCUUCUAACUACAAGCAGCCAGAAAGAGCAAACAGUGAAACACAGAUAAAACAACUCAGGCACAGAGGGAGGUAGGGGGAAAGUCUCUUGGGUAAAUGCUAAACUUCACCCUCAUACAAUGGGCUCCAGUAAAACAGUGGGCCUUAAUAAGUACAUUUCUUUCCCUUCAGGUGCACUAAAAUAGGGAUGGUAAAGGCAGACUCGGGGGGUAUGUCUGCAGCUGCAGAAAGAUGUAUGGGAACAGACACACAACUCUCUCUCCCGAAUAAGCACAACAAAAAAACACAAAAGCAGUCCGAGCCUGUAAUAAACUCUCCUAACCUGAAUCCUUAAAAACUCUGAGUCUGUAAAAAAGUGUGCCUCUAACCUAACUUGGCCAAACACCCCUCUCAGGUUUGUUUUCUCUAAAAUAAACUUGUCUUAACUGCCAAGCCACCUUUCAUGUUUCUUUCCUCUUUCUUUAAUUCUUACAACUGACACUGUUAACACUACUGUAGUUUGUUGCUACAAUGAUAAUUGAAGGAAAUACUCAGUUGCAGUUAGAGGUUAGUGAAAAGAAAGAUGGACACUUGUCUGUCCCUUGCUUUAAACGUAGGUUUUAUUAUCAUUUAGCUAUGGUGACACCAACAGAUCAGGAGCUGACUGCUGUUGAAAUGAUAGCUUGCUACUCACAGAUCCCAGAGGAGGAGGCACACCACGCCACGCAGGACAACAUGGGGUUUGUCAGGAAGCAAAGCAAACAGGAGGAAAACUGGGCCAGGGCUUUUAUUGUGGUUUUUGCAGGAAGGAAUGGGUGAGACAGGGUACACAGGCUUCGAAUUUGCCAGUUUGAAUAAUUUCAGGGGGUACUAGGGCAUAGGGGCUGUCUCUAGUUGUCUGGAGGUGAUUAGGGCUGGAGAAGAGUGGCCCAGUGUGUAAAAGCCCAAUGCAGCAGGUGGCUGUGGUGUUCGGGCUCUGGCGGUUAGGAGAGUCAUUUACUACCACUAGGAAUUGGCUGGCCCUGCAAGGGGGAGUCUCUCCAGGGCCAGGAACGUCUCAGAUGUCAAAACAUCAGAAACAUGUGAUUAGUACACCCAUCCAAAUUCACAGGCUCCCUCACUUUUUACCCGUGGCCACCAGGGUAAGAACCCUAUCUGAGAAAGCCCCCAGCUGAGAAUGGCAGCAUUAAAACCUGAGAGUCAGAGGUCUGAAACCCAGUGCCUUCCAGGGUCAGGAUGACAUCGGUGAGCCAGGUAUAAAGGACAGCAAGGGGUGGCGACUGUGGGGACCCAGGUGUUCAUGCCUCAUAAAGCCAGCUGCUGUCAGCUCCAGCCAGUGGCUACCCAGUGUUGCCAAAUCUUCUGAGCUUUCAUGAGAAGCCAGAGAUCUAGAUUGUGU